UACGAAGGGGGCUAGCGUUGCUCGGAAUGACUGGGCGUAAAGGGCGCGUAGGCGGUUCGAUUUGUUAGGUGUGAAAUUCCUGGGCUUAACCUGGGGGCUGCACUUAAAACGGUCGGGCUUGAGUUCGGAAGAGGGUCGUGGAAUUUCCAGUGUAGAGGUGAAAUUCGUAGAUAUUGGAAAGAACACCGGUGGCGAAGGCGGCGACCUGGUCCGAUACUGACGCUGAGGCGCGAAAGCGUGGGGAGCAAACAGG
RNAcentral lists this ribosomal RNA (253 nucleotides) under uncultured bacterium. RNAcentral's name for it is "partial 16S ribosomal RNA". It matches the Rfam family "Bacterial small subunit ribosomal RNA", at positions 524 to 776 of the family's 1533-position model. The record is from RNAcentral.